This 257-nucleotide ribosomal RNA is filed under the name uncultured bacterium. RNAcentral describes it as "partial 16S ribosomal RNA". It matches the Rfam family "Bacterial small subunit ribosomal RNA", at positions 524 to 779 of the family's 1533-position model. The record is from RNAcentral.
CACGUAGGCACCAAGCGUUGUCCGGAUUUAUUGGGCGUAAAGAGCUCGUAGGCGGUUGAGUAAGUCGGGUGUGAAAACUCUGGGCUUAACCCAGAGCCGCCACCCGAUACUGCUCUGACUUGAGUUCGGUAGGGGAGCAGGGAAUUCCUAGUGUAGCGGUGAAAUGCGCAGAUAUUAGGAGGAACACCGGUGGCGAAGGCGCUGCUCUGGGCCGAUACUGACGCUGAGGAGCGAAAGCGUGGGUAGCAAACGAGGAA